RNAcentral lists this ribosomal RNA (468 nucleotides) under uncultured bacterium. RNAcentral's name for it is "partial 16S ribosomal RNA". It matches the Rfam family "Bacterial small subunit ribosomal RNA", at positions 28 to 507 of the family's 1533-position model. The record is from RNAcentral.
GACGAACGCUGGCGGCGUGCUUAACACAUGCAAGUCGAACGGAAAGGCCCUGCUUUUGUGGGGUGCUCGAUUGGCGAACGGGUGAGUAACACGCGAGUAACCUGCCCUUGACUUUGGGAUAACUUCAGGAAACUGGGGCUAAUACCGGAUAGGAGCUCCUGCUGCAUGGUGGGGGUUGGAAAGUUUCGGCGGUUGGGGAUGGACUCGCGGCUUAUCAGCUUGUUGGUGGGGUAGUGGCUUACCAAGGCUUUGACGGGUAGCCGGCCUGAGAGGGUGACCGGCGACAUUGGGACUGAGGUACGGCCCAGAAUCCUACGGGAGGCAGCAGUGGGGAAUAUGGCACAAUGGGCGGAAGCCUGAUGCAGCAACGCCGCGUGCGGGAUGACGGCCUUCGGGUGGUAAACAGCUGUCGCCUGUGACGAAGCGGGAGUGACGGUAAUGGGUAAAGAAGCACCGGCUAACUACGUG